CACAAACCGUCGGAGCCUCUGUGUGGGGUGACGGCGUGCCUAUCGAAAAAUGAGUCUGCGAGUCAGUGGCGGGUGGCGAGCAUAAGCCGUGUGGCGUAUGCGUAGCGAAAGCGAGUCUUAAAAGGCGUUUUUUAGUCGCUUGUCCUGGACCCGAAGCGGGAUGAUCUAGCCCUGGGCAGGUUGAAGCGCGGGUAAGACCGCGUGGAGGACCGAACCCACCUGGGUUGAAAACCGGGGGGAUGACCUGGGGCUAGGGGUGAAAGGCCAAUCAAAUUCCGUGAUAGCUGGUUCUCUCCGAAAUGCAUUUAGGUGCAGCGUCGGUCGAUUGCGUCGCGGGGGUAGAGCUACCGGAUGCUUGCGGGCCUUGUGGGUACCAACAGCAGCCGAACUCCGAAUACCGUUGACGUGUAUUCCGGCAGUGAGUCGGCGGGGGAUAAGGCUCCGUCGUCGAGAGGGAGACAGCCCAGACCGUCGUCUAAGGUCCGAAGCGUGUGC
This 495-nucleotide ribosomal RNA is filed under the name uncultured bacterium. RNAcentral describes it as "bacterial LSU rRNA". It matches the Rfam family "Bacterial large subunit ribosomal RNA", at positions 565 to 1059 of the family's 2925-position model. The record is from RNAcentral.